RNAcentral lists this ribosomal RNA (584 nucleotides) under uncultured Sphingobacteriia bacterium. RNAcentral's name for it is "bacterial SSU rRNA". It matches the Rfam family "Bacterial small subunit ribosomal RNA", at positions 123 to 705 of the family's 1533-position model. Lineage: Bacteria; Pseudomonadati; Bacteroidota; Sphingobacteriia. The record is from RNAcentral.
AAUCUACCCAGAACUGGUGAAUAGCCCUCCGAAAGGAGGAUUAAUACACCGUAACAUAAUAGAGUGGCAUCACUUUGUUAUUAAAGCUCCGGCGGUUUUGGAUGAGCGUGCGCCCCAUUAGGUAGUUGGUUGAGGUAAUGGCUCACCAAGCCUGCGAUGGGUAACUGGUGUGAGAGCACGACCAGUCACACGGGCACUGAGACACGGGCCCGACUCCUACGGGAGGCAGCAGUAAGGAAUAUUGGUCAAUGGACGCAAGUCUGAACCAGCCAUGCCGCGUGGAGGAUGAAGGCCCUCUGGGUUGUAAACUUCUUUUAUGGGGGACGAAAUCACUUAUUCUUAAGUGUCUGACGGUACCCCAGGAAUAAGCACCGGCUAACUCCGUGCCAGCAGCCGCGGUAAUACGGAGGGUGCAAGCGUUAUCCGGAUUCACUGGGUUUAAAGGGUGCGUAGGAGGGCGGAUAAGUCAGUGGUGAAAUCUUCGAGCUUAACUCGGAAACUGCCGUUGAUACUAUUUGUCUUGAAUAUCGUGGAGGUGAGCGGAAUAUGUCAUGUAGCGGUGAAAUGCUUAGAUAUGACAUAGA